GUGCCAGCCGCCGCGGUAAGACAGAGGGUGCAAACGUUGCUCGGAAUUACUGGGCGUAAAGCGCGUGUAGGCUGACCGGAAAGUCGGGCGUGAAAGCCCUGGGCUCAACCCAGGAACUGCACUCGAAACUCCCGGUCUAGAGUGGUGGAGAGGGAAGUGGAAUUCCUGGUGUAGAGGUGAAAUUCGUAGAUAUCAGGAGGAACACCAGUGGCGAAGGCGGCUUCCUGGACACCAACUGACGCUGAGACGCGAAAGCGUGGGGAGCAAACAGGAUUAGAAACCCGGGUAGUCC
Molecule: ribosomal RNA, 292 nt
Filed under: uncultured bacterium
Lineage: Bacteria
Description: partial 16S ribosomal RNA
Rfam family: Bacterial small subunit ribosomal RNA
Source: RNAcentral